Molecule: long non-coding RNA, 2312 nt
Organism: Heterocephalus glaber (naked mole-rat)
Lineage: Eukaryota; Metazoa; Chordata; Mammalia; Rodentia; Bathyergidae
Source: Ensembl
GCCCAGGCCAGUUCUCGCGGCCUCUGGGCUGGACCAGGCUCUGCUCUGAGCGCGCUGCUCGGCGGCCCCGCGGGCGAGCCUACCGCUUCCCACGGCGACUCGGGCUCCAGCGCCAGGCGCUGGCGCGGACCCGCUUCCGUUCCGGGAGAGCGAGGGGCCCGAAACUUCACCUUCGCCCUGGACCUCAGAACACCGACCCGAGGCCGAAGCAAAGGUGUGGUUCAAGCCGGACAGAAAGGACGGCGCUGCUCCUCCCGGCCGGGGACCUGCGCGUUGCGGCCCCGCGGGAUGCGGUGGCCCCUGGGCCGCGCGCUGAGCUUCCCCGCACUCGGGCCGCGCGCCUCCGGUCCUCGGGGUCCGGCCCGGAGGCCUGAGCUCGCGCCCCAAGCCCUGGCCGGGAAGAUGCCAUCCCGGCCCGCGGCGACCCGAGCCCGAGGCGGGAGCCAGACGGCGCCGCCGGACUCGGGCGAGGGGUAAGGCCGGGCUGGGACCCCAUUUAGGGAAACGGCCUGCUCCAGAGGAAGUCCCCAAGUGUCAAGUGGCCCCGGGAAGGCUCCGCGGGGUUGCGGGGACUCCACAGUGCAGUUCGGUCCCGCGAGUGUCUCUCCAGCCCUCGCCUUCUCCCCUCCACUCCCCUCUCCACAGCCCCCGCCCCGCGCCAGUCCCGGGCGGCGGAGGCGAAGCCCACCGAGCCUAGAGAGAGCGAAGCCGCCCCCUGCUGGCCAGAUGAGGCAGGCGCGGCCAACAGCUCCGCUCCCCUCCGUCCCGCCGGCGCGCCUGCCCGGACCCAGCGCGACCCUCCUGUGCCCCCAGCGAGGGGGACGUGUUCAAAGAAACAGAAAACAAAACAAAAACAAACCAAGGGCCAAAACCACUCUCACCUCGUUUGCUGCUCAAAGUGGCAAAGUUUAUUUCAAAAAGUAAAAGUCAAGAAUGACAGAGAAACUGGCUCUACAGAGUGAGCCAGGUGAAAGAGGAAAAAAGCAAGAUAAAAGCACACCCUGGAGAAAGCAGGGCUGGAUACCAUGAAGAAAGCCAUGAUAGUCUUAUUUUGUUUUCAUUUCCUGUGAAGCCCUAUUCAUCUCCUUUGUUCAUUUUACUUGUUGUGUUUUUUGAUGUUUAUCUAUUUGUACAUGAAUUUGGUAAUUUAGAUAUAAGCUUUUUGUUUAUUCAUAGGCAUUGCAAAUAUCUUCUCAAUGUGUACUUGUGUUUUAAAUUUUUCUAUUGUUAUGCAUAUGUUUUAAAUUUAAGUGUAAUUAAGAAUAUUUUUUCUUGUAUGUUUUAGACUUUCAGAAUGAGCAAAAUCACAUCCUAAAAAUAUCCUAUACUUUCUUCUUCUAAAACUUUAGAUUUAAUUUUCACAGGUAAAUUUUCAGUUCACUUUAGAUUUUUAUAAAAUGUAUUUUUAAAAUUUACGUGAGCUAAAAUUCCUAUUUCUUUUCUUUUCCUUCUCCCCAUUCCCAACCAGUUUUGUGAGAUUUAACAGUUACAUAGCUUUACAGGAACACUAUCACAGUCAAAAUACAGAACACUUUGAUGAAGGGAAAGUUUCCCUUAGAUUGCCCCUGGGCAAACUCCCUGCCCUAAAUCCUGGCAACCACUGAUUUGUUCUGUAUCCCUAUAGAUUUUUUUUGGUUGUUUGUUUUGUAUCAGAUACUGGGGAUUGAAGCCAGGCCUUCAUGUACUGAGCUACCUCCCCAGUCUCCUCAGUUCCUAAUUUCCCAGUCUGGGGUUGAAUGCUAGAUCCUUUUGCUCAGCCUCAAUACUGGGAUUACAGCUAUGUGCCUCUAUGCUGGGUUACCUUAUAGUUUGUUUUUGCUUUUUUACUUUUUAAAGUAAAUCAUAGACAUAGAAUCAUAAAAUAUGUAAUCUUUGAAAUUACUUUCUUUUACUUGGCAUAAGAUGUUGCUUGUACUGCAUUAGUAAUUCCAUUUUAAAAAAUUUAUUGAAUAGCAUUUUAUUAUAGGGACAUACCACAGUUAUUUAUCCACUAAACUAUUACAAGAUAUUUAGGUCAUUUCCAGUUUUUGUUGACUAUAAAUGUGCUGCUGUAAGUGUUCUUGAACAGGUUUGUGUGAACAUAUGGUUUCAUCUCUAGAGGGCAAAUUCCAAAGAUAAAUGCUUGUUUUACUUUGUAAGAAUCUGUCACAGAGUGUUUCAGAGUGACUAUUGUCAUUUUUGCAAUGUAGAAAGAUGCUAGUCACUCUGUAUUCUUGCCAGCCUUAGAUAUUACUAUUACCAUUAUGAUGAUGAUGAUGAUGAUGAUGAUGAUGAUGAUGAUGAUGAUGAUGAUUGCUCUUUAGCCAUCCCAG